GACAAAGCAACGUUCAGGAGCGCGGAGUCUCUAGCCCAUGUUGGAUGAGUUCUUGCAGGAUGGCAGCUACCGCAGCACGGGGAGAAGGCAGCAGCUGUGUGCACGUCUCCUGAGCUGAGGACUUGGUAGGAACCAGGAGUCGUACAAGACUUCUGCCAUGUUUCAAAAUCAAACGGACAGAGCAAACGUGUGCCAACUCCUGAUGUAAAUUUAAGGACGGGACAUUUAGCAGCACCCAAAACAUGUUCAUCACGCAGAUGCCUGCCAAGGUGGAAAAAUGCUUCUCGGUCUUUCUCGUGAAGGACUUGCCAGAUUCCCCUGAAGAGCCAGGGUAACAUUUCCUGGACAGCACCCAACCUGCCACCCGAACCAGCAUUCACAUAGUUCUUCGCUGUAAUAUGCCUCUCAGCAUCCAGGUUGGGUUGAACUAGAGAUUUUAAGAGGGCCCCAGAGACAUCUUAUGCUCCUCCUCUGAAAUCCCGUGCUGCACUGGCUUUGAGGAGAUGAGGUACCAGCAGGCCACAGCGCUGGGGAUGAGCACCUCAUCCAGCAGAUACAAAAAGAAGCCGAGUAGUGCCACCCAGAAUGGCUUCCCACGACUUUAUGCAAACAUCGGCCGCUGAAGCUCACCCUGGGCCUCACGGGGUGAUGUCAUGCACAGAAUGUUCCGGCUGAGCGACGCGAUCGGCACAGCUGGGACAUGCCGUGGCCCGUGAGGUGUACAAGCCGCCUCCAAGCGCUACCUGACAAUUGUGGGUUUUUUCUCUGCAUGGAAAAGAGACUCAGCAACUCAACAGAGGUCUCUCCCUCCUCGCUUGUCACACUUGGAGGUAGAGAUCUCGACUGCUGGACAGGCUGCAAGGC
Long non-coding RNA from Rhinolophus ferrumequinum (greater horseshoe bat), 864 nucleotides. RefSeq lists it as uncharacterized. The transcript is spliced from 4 exons. The record is from RefSeq and is a predicted model, not a curated record. Lineage: Eukaryota; Metazoa; Chordata; Mammalia; Chiroptera; Rhinolophidae.